GACGAACGCUGGCGGCGUGCUUAACACAUGCCAGUCGAACGGAAAGGCCCUUCGGGGUACUCGAGUGGCGAACGGGUGAGUAACACGUGGGUGAUCUGCCCUGCACUUUGGGAUAAGCCUGGGAAACUGGGUCUAAUACCGAAUAGGACCACGCGCUUCAUGGUGUGUGGUGGAAAGCUUUUGCGGUGUGAGAUGGGCCCGCGGCCUAUCAGCUUGUUGGUGGGGUAAUGGCCUACCAAGGCGACGACGGGUAGCCGGCCUGAGAGGGUGACCGGCCACACUGGGACUGAGAUACGGCCCAGACUCCUACGGGAGGCAGCAGUGGGGAAUAUUGCACAAUGGGUGCAAGCCUGAUGCAGCGACGCCGCGUGAGGGAUGACGGCCUUCGGGUUGUAAACCUCUUUCACCAGGGACGAAGCGUAAGUGACGGUACCUGGAGAAGAAGCACCGGCCAACUACGUG
Molecule: ribosomal RNA, 462 nt
Filed under: uncultured bacterium
Lineage: Bacteria
Description: partial 16S ribosomal RNA
Rfam family: Bacterial small subunit ribosomal RNA
Source: RNAcentral